UUAAGCGACUAAGCGUACACGGUGGAUGCCCUGGCAGUCAGAGGCGAUGAAGGACGUGCUAAUCUGCGAUAAGCGUCGGUGAGGUGAUAUGAACCGUUAUAACCGGCGAUUUCCGAAUGGGGAAACCCAGUGUGUUUCGACACACUAUCAUUAACUGAAUCCAUAGGUUAAUGAGGCGAACCGGGGGAACUGAAACAUCUAAGUACCCCGAGGAAAAGAAAUCAACCGAGAUUCCCCCAGUAGCGGCGAGCGAACGGGGAGGAGCCCAGAGCCUGAAUCAGUGUGUGUGUUAGUGGAAGCGUCUGGAAAGGCGUGCGAUACAGGGUGACAGCCCCGUACACAAAAAUGCACAUAUUGUGAGCUCGAUGAGUAGGGCGGGACACGUGGUAUCCUGUCUGAAUAUGGGGGGACCAUCCUCCAAGGCUAAAUACUCCUGACUGACCGAUAGUGAACCAGUACCGUGAGGGAAAGGCGAAAAGAACCCCGGCGAGGGGAGUGAAAAAGAACCUGAAACCGUGUACGUACAAGCAGUGGGAGCCUCUUAAUGGGGUGACUGCGUACCUUUUGUAUAAUGGGUCAGCGACUUAUAUUCUGUAGCAAGGUUAACCGAAUAGGGGAGCCGAAGGGAAACCGAGUCUUAACUGGGCGUUAAGUUGCAGGGUAUAGACCCGAAACCCGGUGAUCUAGCCAUGGGCAGGUUGAAGGUUGGGUAACACUAACUGGAGGACCGAACCGACUAAUGUUGAAAAAUUAGCGGAUGACUUGUGGCUGGGGGUGAAAGGCCAAUCAAACCGGGAGAUAGCUGGUUCUCCCCGAAAGCUAUUUAGGUAGCGCCUCGUGAAUUCAUCUCCGGGGGUAGAGCACUGUUUCGGCAAGGGGGUCAUCCCGACUUACCAACCCGAUGCAAACUGCGAAUACCGGAGAAUGUUAUCACGGGAGACACACGGCGGGUGCUAACGUCCGUCGUGAAGAGGGAAACAACCCAGACCGCCAGCUAAGGUCCCAAAGUCAUGGUUAAGUGGGAAACGAUGUGGGAAGGCCCAGACAGCCAGGAUGUUGGCUUAGAAGCAGCCAUCAUUUAAAGAAAGCGUAAUAGCUCACUGGUCGAGUCGGCCUGCGCGGAAGAUGUAACGGGGCUAAACCAUGCACCGAAGCUGCGGCAGCGACGCUUAUGCGUUGUUGGGUAGGGGAGCGUUCUGUAAGCCUGCGAAGGUGUGCUGUGAGGCAUGCUGGAGGUAUCAGAAGUGCGAAUGCUGACAUAAGUAACGAUAAAGCGGGUGAAAAGCCCGCUCGCCGGAAGACCAAGGGUUCCUGUCCAACGUUAAUCGGGGCAGGGUGAGUCGACCCCUAAGGCGAGGCCGAAAGGCGUAGUCGAUGGGAAACAGGUUAAUAUUCCUGUACUUGGUGUUACUGCGAAGGGGGGACGGAGAAGGCUAUGUUGGCCGGGCGACGGUUGUCCCGGUUUAAGCGUGUAGGCUGGUUUUCCAGGCAAAUCCGGAAAACCAAGGCUGAGGCGUGAUGACGAGGCACUACGGUGCUGAAGCGACAAAUGCCCUGCUUCCAGGAAAAGCCUCUAAGCAUCAGGUAACAUCAAAUCGUACCCCAAACCGACACAGGUGGUCAGGUAGAGAAUACCAAGGCGCUUGAGAGAACUCGGGUGAAGGAACUAGGCAAAAUGGUGCCGUAACUUCGGGAGAAGGCACGCUGAUAUGUAGGUGAAGCGACUUGCUCGUGGAGCUGAAAUCAGUCGAAGAUACCAGCUGGCUGCAACUGUUUAUUAAAAACACAGCACUGUGCAAACACGAAAGUGGACGUAUACGGUGUGACGCCUGCCCGGUGCCGGAAGGUUAAUUGAUGGGGUUAGCGGUAACGCGAAGCUCUUGAUCGAAGCCCCGGUAAACGGCGGCCGUAACUAUAACGGUCCUAAGGUAGCGAAAUUCCUUGUCGGGUAAGUUCCGACCUGCACGAAUGGCGUAAUGAUGGCCAGGCUGUCUCCACCCGAGACUCAGUGAAAUUGAACUCGCUGUGAAGAUGCAGUGUACCCGCGGCAAGACGGAAAGACCCCGUGAACCUUUACUAUAGCUUGACACUGAACAUUGAGCCUUGAUGUGUAGGAUAGGUGGGAGGCUUUGAAGUGUGGACGCCAGUCUGCAUGGAGCCGACCUUGAAAUACCACCCUUUAAUGUUUGAUGUUCUAACGUUGGCCCGUAAUCCGGGUUGCGGACAGUGUCUGGUGGGUAGUUUGACUGGGGCGGUCUCCUCCUAAAGAGUAACGGAGGAGCACGAAGGUUGGCUAAUCCUGGUCGGACAUCAGGAGGUUAGUGCAAUGGCAUAAGCCAGCUUGACUGCGAGCGUGACGGCGCGAGCAGGUGCGAAAGCAGGUCAUAGUGAUCCGGUGGUUCUGAAUGGAAGGGCCAUCGCUCAACGGAUAAAAGGUACUCCGGGGAUAACAGGCUGAUACCGCCCAAGAGUUCAUAUCGACGGCGGUGUUUGGCACCUCGAUGUCGGCUCAUCACAUCCUGGGGCUGAAGUAGGUCCCAAGGGUAUGGCUGUUCGCCAUUUAAAGUGGUACGCGAGCUGGGUUUAGAACGUCGUGAGACAGUUCGGUCCCUAUCUGCCGUGGGCGCUGGAGAACUGAGGGGGGCUGCUCCUAGUACGAGAGGACCGGAGUGGACGCAUCACUGGUGUUCGGGUUGUCAUGCCAAUGGCACUGCCCGGUAGCUAAAUGCGGAAGAGAUAAGUGCUGAAAGCAUCUAAGCACGAAACUUGCCCCGAGAUGAGUUCUCCCUGACUCCUUGAGGGUCCUGAAGGAACGUUGAAGACGACGACGUUGAUAGGCCGGGUGUGUAAGCGCAGCGAUGCGUUGAGCUAACCGGUACUAAUGAACCGUGAGGCUUAACCUU
RNAcentral lists this ribosomal RNA (2903 nucleotides) under Escherichia coli KTE141. Its description in RNAcentral is "bacterial LSU rRNA". It matches the Rfam family "Bacterial large subunit ribosomal RNA". Lineage: Bacteria; Pseudomonadati; Pseudomonadota; Gammaproteobacteria; Enterobacterales; Enterobacteriaceae. The record is from RNAcentral.